GAGGGUAUAGCUCAAGUGGUAGAGCACAUGCUUAGCAUGCACAAGGUCCUGGGUUCAAUCCCCAGUACCUUCU
Molecule: transfer RNA, 73 nt
Filed under: Camelus bactrianus (Bactrian camel)
Lineage: Eukaryota; Metazoa; Chordata; Mammalia; Artiodactyla; Camelidae
Also listed under: 2 other names
Rfam family: tRNA
About the family: Transfer RNA (tRNA) molecules are approximately 80 nucleotides in length.
Source: Rfam by way of RNAcentral